AGCAGUCAGAUCUGUUGCCAAAGAUUCACAGAAUGAAUGACAGCUUUGGAAAGGUACAGACUCCUGGGUAAAGGUGGAAGCAGUGGUGGAUAUGUUUGUAAAUGAAGCCUAAUUAACAACAGAUCGACAAACCAAGCCCUGAUUUGUUCCAUUCCUGGUGGAAUGCCCAACGUGUGAAUGCUCAUCCUAAAAAUUUAACAGUGGGCUUCCCUGUACGGUUAUCAGCUAGCUCCAGGAGACCACUGUUGAUAUGUCCAAAGGGAAAGGAAGAAUAUUAUUGUAUCAAUUACUAUUCUCUCCUGAAAGAAGCUAAGGACACACUCUCAAACUUCCAGACCCUCACUUAACCUUCUACAAGCCUAGAACAUUUAAGGAUAAAAGAUGGAGUAGAGGUUGUGUGGUUACCUCUGUUUAGGUUCCUGUAACACUAGACUGAGUUUUACUUUAUUUUUUUUUCUCAUUUCCUGAAAAGCCAGUGUGUAAGACUGAUUGUAACAGGAAUCUUUGAGUGCUAAAAUACAGAGAAAUGAAAGACCUUUAGGAGUUUUAUGAAAGAGUUAGAUAAA
Molecule: long non-coding RNA, 566 nt
Organism: Phascolarctos cinereus (koala)
Lineage: Eukaryota; Metazoa; Chordata; Mammalia; Diprotodontia; Phascolarctidae
Source: RefSeq, a predicted model, not a curated record